This is a long non-coding RNA of Sus scrofa (pig), 1388 nucleotides long. RefSeq lists it as uncharacterized. The record is from RefSeq and is a predicted model, not a curated record. NCBI's taxonomy places the organism in Eukaryota, Metazoa, Chordata, Mammalia, Artiodactyla, Suidae.
CUAGUUACCCGCUUGUCUGCGCUCCUGUUGUCAGACCCUGCCAUGUGGACUGCUAGUCGGAAAAAUGCAGGGUUUCCCCCUCUGCAAUGAGCCUGAGCCCUGCCGAUCCCCGAACGAAAAGCAUUGAACCUUUAACUCACCUGAUUGGGAGGGUCUUGGGGUCUGCGUUUGAGUUUGCAGCAUGAAGACAUUCCCAGGGGUGGAAUGGAACCUGCACCACCAAAGUAGUGACCAUGCUGGAUCCUUAACCACGAGGCCACCAGGGAACUCCACUAUUUGUACAUUUUAAAGCUGCUCUGAGUAAUACGACCUGGGAAGAGAGCACAAUGGCAAAGAAUGAGGAGUCACAUGGUAACAGGCAGCUCAGUGACAACAUCUGCAAGUCACCUAAAACCUGAGCGGAAGAGGAGAUGAGCCAUUAUUUUGGAAGAUUGAUGGAUAUGAAAACUUAUGAUUGCUCAAGAGUUCAAUGAAAUACUAGUUGUUUUAAGGACGAUGGGCAAAUAAACUGGUGAGAUAAACCAGGAUGCCAAGUUGACCACUGAAUAACAGGUUAUCGAGCAAUCCAAUAAUAGCCAUGCAGAAGCUCUAAGUACAGUAAGGCAAAAUCUUGAUGGCUAAAAAAGGACAAAGCCUACUAUAUUAAUUAAUUAACUUUUAUGUUGAUGUCAGUCCAUUAGCAAUAAUGAGGAAAGGCUGGAUUUCAUGCAUUUGGACUUCGUUAAGAUGGGAUUCUUCUCAUCAACAAGUUAGGACCAUAUGGUCUAAAAUCCAGUAUUAAAAAUUAGAAAGAAAAUUGACUAUCUUAUCCAAAUGGUUAAAAGUACCAUGGAUGCCCAAAUGUGCCAGAUGGGGCUACUUAAGAAUCAGAUGCAGGGUUUUAAAAAAUACUUUCAUGUGACAAUUAUGAGACAUUGUACAAAAACUGGCAGGAGUUUCUACCCACUCUCUGAGUCAGUGCUCAGCAAUAAGAAUAACCAAACCAAGAUACGGCUUCUUACCUGAAACCGUAUGUCUGAAACAAAUAUGUGAGGGUUGUGAAUACACAGACCUUCAAAUGGAAAAGACAGAAAGCUGGGAUGGGGAGAAAAGAGGAAUGCACAGAGUAUUUAAAAAAAAAAAGUCCAAAUAAUGCAGUCUUCUAAUUAGCUAUAAAUAGAACACAAAACUUGUGUAUAGAUACAAAUUAUCUUUUAAUGUUAAUUACACCUUGAGUUGAUCACAAGAUAAUACGCAUUAAAACAGGACACGUGACAAGUCAUACAAAAUCAAAAUUAUUAACCUGAGUUUAAAAAGAAAAGCCCCUAGAGUUUCCAUUGUGUCUCAGUGGGUUAAGAACCCAACUAGAAACUGUGAAGAUGCAGGUUAAAUCUCUGGCCUCACUCAGU